RNAcentral lists this ribosomal RNA (900 nucleotides) under Flavobacteriaceae bacterium S-1-18. Its description in RNAcentral is "bacterial SSU rRNA". It matches the Rfam family "Bacterial small subunit ribosomal RNA", at positions 48 to 948 of the family's 1533-position model. Lineage: Bacteria; Pseudomonadati; Bacteroidota; Flavobacteriia; Flavobacteriales; Flavobacteriaceae. The record is from RNAcentral.
CUUACACAUGCAAGUCGAGGGGUAACAGAGAAGCUUGCUUUUGCUGACGACCGGCGCACGGGUGCGUAACGCGUAUAGAAUCUACCUUAUACUAAGGAAUAGCCUUUGGAAACGAAGAUUAAUGCCUUAUAGUAUGAUGACUUGGCAUCAAGAUAUCAUUAAAGAUUACGGUAUAAGAUGACUAUGCGUUCUAUUAGCUAGAUGGUGUGGUAACGGCACACCAUGGCUACGAUAGAUAGGGGCCCUGAGAGGGGGAUCCCCCACACUGGUACUGAGACACGGACCAGACUCCUACGGGAGGCAGCAGUGAGGAAUAUUGGACAAUGGAGGCAACUCUGAUCCAGCCAUGCCGCGUGCAGGAUGACUGCCCUAUGGGUUGUAAACUGCUUUUAUACAGGAAGAAACCAUCUCACGUGUGAGAUCUUGACGGUACUGUAAGAAUAAGGAUCGGCUAACUCCGUGCCAGCAGCCGCGGUAAUACGGAGGAUCCAAGCGUUAUCCGGAAUCAUUGGGUUUAAAGGGUCCGUAGGUGGAUAAUUAAGUCAGAGGUGAAAUCCUGCAGCUCAACUGUAGAAUUGCCUUUGAUACUGGUUAUCUUGAGUUAUUAUGAAGUAGUUAGAAUAUGUAGUGUAGCGGUGAAAUGCAUAGAUAUUACAUAGAAUACCAAUUGCGAAGGCAGAUUACUAAUAAUCAACUGACACUGAUGGACGAAAGCGUGGGGAGCGAACAGGAUUAGAUACCCUGGUAGUCCACGCCGUAAACGAUGGUCACUAGCUGUUCGAACUUCGGUUUGAGUGGCUAAGCGAAAGUGAUAAGUGACCCACCUGGGGAGUACGUUCGCAAGAAUGAAACUCAAAGGAAUUGACGGGGGCCCGCACAAGCGGUGGAGCAUGUGGUUUA